RNAcentral lists this long non-coding RNA (923 nucleotides) under Homo sapiens (human). Its description in RNAcentral is "HSALNT0139252". Lineage: Eukaryota; Metazoa; Chordata; Mammalia; Primates; Hominidae. The record is from RNAcentral.
CUGCAGAUAGCCUGUAAGUAGCAGGGAAAUGCGCCACUUAAGCUUCAUUAACCCUGAUGACAGUAUGGGAGGCUGACCACAAACACACAAAAAGGUAAAAUGUCGUGUCCUUUAAACUUGGUUUAGCCCAAUGUUCUUAAUUGUCUGGUAGUCUGGGGCUUUUCUUUGUGUUUGUUAGUUUUAAAUUUAGUUUCUUUGCUGUUACAUAUGGUGAGAAACGGCCUUUUUUAUCUUGUUGCGUUGAGCAUUUUUGGAGGUUCCCCUCAGCCUGGAGGGGAGGAGUUGAGUAUUGUUUUGUUUUGUUUUGUUUUGUUUUGUUCCUAAACUCUACAAAUAAUAGAAGAAAUAAUAUUGUUUGUAUUGGGUGCACCUGCUUCCCUAAACCAGAGCGAGGUGUUUUGUGUGUUUUUUUUUCUCUCCUCCCCCACUCUCCUUUUAUCUUGGCUGCAUGAGCUUUGUUGUUUGGUGGGAAUUUAAGUGGCUCCUGCUUUCUUAGGGAACUUCCUAUCCCAGGGAAUUCAGAAAUUCUCCCCAGGGGCCCCCAGAAACUGUAUUGUAUUAUUGCCUCCACUCCACCCCCUUUCCACAUAAGCCGCAUAAACAUGCACCCAAACACACGAGACGUUUUUAAAGGAGCAAAAGAAACGUAAUCCUGCAAAGGUUUCCUGGGAAUAUGUGCAUUUAUGAGUGUGCAUUUGUGAUUGGAGGUGCUUUGACACUCAUGUGUGCAUGUUACUUCAGGAGAAAUGGAAGUCUGUGUGGUUUUCUGUACGCAUUUUCUUUAGUCUUGAAUACAACAAAAGUAAAUGCUAUAAUUUCUUUUCUUGCUCCUUUUGCUCUUCUCCAACUUACAAGACAGCCCCAGGUGAUUGGCUCCUUGACCCUCCUUCUUUGACCCACACCCAUCUUUCCCCAGAGUGAGG